GCAAAGAUCAACACCCUCAUAAAUCUUUUCAACAAAGUAUGGAUAGAACAUAGUAUAGUAUAAUUGCCGUAUCCGGCAAUCCUCCUCAGUUGAAUCGGCUUCCCCCAUCAAACUUCCUACCACAGCACCUAGCCGAGGAUGUUCCUCAACAACAGUCCAACCUCUAAUAGACAUAUUAGAAGAUUCCACAACUUCUAUUUGAGAGCAGAGACUUGUCAUUGGCUAUAGAUAACCUAUUCGACGAAGUGAACCAAGAUCUGAGCAACCAGGAAUCGAUCCCCAAACUCACCAUACACUCGACCAUGAUGCCAACGAAAUACGACUCCCAUCUACCCUGUUUGAAAUUAGUGAUCAAGAUACAUCACAACAGAUAGACACAACCCUCAAACAAGAAAUAGAAGAAAUUUUGGUGAACAUGGAGCAAGAACGGAGGGCCAUUCCACCAGAUUGACCACGAACAACACGGCUUCAUCAACGUAUCAACACAGAAUGACAACGUCACUUUGACACAAUACCAUACGGACCGGAAGACCUUCACAGAAUAGUUGAAUCAGCAAGAAACAACCCACAAUUUCGGGAAAGUCUAACUGCAUCAGAGAUCUAUGCGUCAACUACACAAUUUCUACAAGGCGAAAAUUUUCACAAUUGGUUAGCGGAUGGAAGACAAUUCUUUAACCUCGAUAACCGACAUCCUUAAUAAGAUCAACAUAAACAAGGCCUUGUGUAGCAAGAAGCUAACUACUCUUUUACAUUGAUGUGCGAUGCAAACACAAUUGUGUCAUUUCCUGGUCUUGCUACUCUCGAGCGGAUGGACGGACCUGCUGCUUCGAACCGGACACAACGAGCGCAUUAGUGGCCAUAAAUAACCUACUUGACGAAGUGAAUCAGAUAGGAGCAACCAGGCCCCAAUCCCCACGAUUCACCAUCUAAUCCACCUCAACGCCAACGAUAUAUGACUCCCAACUACUCUUUUCAUAUCAGCAAUGACGAUACAAUACAACAAGAAACAACCCUCAAACAAGAAGCAGAAGAAGAUUUGGUGAACAUGGAGCGAGAACGGAGGGCCUUUUGCCCAAAUUUACCACGAACAACACGGCCUCAACAACGCAUCAACAUAAAACGACAACGUCUCUUUGACGUAAUUCCAUACGAGCGGAAAGACCUCCACAGAACAGUUGAAUCAGCGAGAAACAACCUACAAUUUUGGAAAAGUCUAACUAUAUUAGAGAUGCGGAGGACAACUCUUUAACCUUGGUAACCGACAUCCUCAAAAAGAUCAACAUCAACAAGGCAAGUUAGUUUUUUCAUUACAUCAAAUAAGUAACGACAACAAAAACAGGAAGUUACAAAAUCCUACCUCUAGCGACAGAUGUCCCCUGUUUAACCCAGCACGGCCAUAGGCCUCAGUUUUCUAAGCUAAAGGUCUAGACACCAGCACUGAAAUGGUGCUAGAAUUGAAACGAUAAGAAUCCACCUACAUCCGGCCAGUAGCCUAGUCACAUGUGUCAGACACAAAUUGUAACACACAGUUGUGUUUUCAGUUUUAAUCUCGAUGGGGAUUUUAAGGUUGGGAUAAGUGGCUUAGAUUUUUCUCUAAUCUAAUUAUUUUAGGAUUAUCAUGAUUAAAGUAGUAUAAUCCUUAAAUAGACUAAAAUCUUUGGAACCUUAAUUUUUAUUGUAAUUUAACUAAGAACUAUAUUUUUCAAUUUAAAAGUCACAAAUUUACAACAAUC
RNAcentral lists this long non-coding RNA (1733 nucleotides) under Physcomitrium patens. Its description in RNAcentral is "long non-coding RNA (PPAT_LNC012048)". Lineage: Eukaryota; Viridiplantae; Streptophyta; Bryopsida; Funariales; Funariaceae. The record is from RNAcentral.